UGAAUACGAGACGCUAAGGCGUCGAAGUAGUGUAUGUCAUACUUCCAAGAAAAGCUUGCACUGUCAUAGAUAAAAAACGCCUGUACCAUAACCGACACAGGUGGGUAGGUAGAGUAUACUAAGGGGCGCGAGAUAACUCUCUCUAAGGAACUCGGCAAAAUAACUCCGUAACUUCGGGAGAAGGAGUGCCUUAUUCUUAAGGUUGCAAUAACAAGAUCCAAGCAACUGUUUAUCAAAAACACAGGUCUCCGCUAAGUCGUAAGACGAUGUAUGGGGGCUGACGCCUGCCCAGUGCCAGAAGGUUAAAGAAGCUGGUUAGCAUUUGCGAAGCUAGUAACUGAAGCCCUGGUGAACGGCGGCCGUAACAAUAACGGUCCUAAGGUAGCGAAAUUCCUUGUCGGGUAAGUUCCGACCCGCACGAAAGGCGUAAUGAUUUGGAUACUGUCUCGGAGAGGGGCUCGGUGAAAUAGACUUGUCUGUGAAGAUGCGGACUACCUGCACCAGGACAGAAAGACCCUAUGAAGCUUUACUGUAACUUGAAAUUGAAAUUGGACUUUAUUCGCGCAGUAUAGGUGGGAGGCGUUGAUUAUAAUCUUGCGGGAUUAUUGGAGCCAUUAGUGAGAUACCACUCUUGUAAUGUUAGAUUUCUAACUUUGAAUCAUUAUCUGGUCAAAGAACAGUUUCAGGCGGGCAGUUUGACUGGGGCGGUCGCCUCCCAAACGGUAACGGAGGCGUACAAAGGUUUCCUCUGAACGGUUAGAAAUCGUAUCUAGAGUGUAAAGGCAUAAGGAAGCUUGACUGUGAGACCUACAAGUCGAGCAGGGACGAAAGUCGGUCUUAGUGAUCUGACGGUACUGAGUGGAAAGGCCGUCACUCAACGGAUGAAAGUUACUCUAGGAUAACAGGCUGAUCUCCCCCAAGAGUUCACAUCGACGGGGAGGUUUGGCACCUCGAUGUCGGCUCAUCGCAUCCUGGGGCGGUAGUACGUCCCAAGGGUUGGGCUGUUCGCCCAUGAAAGCGGUACGCGAGCUGGGUUCAGAACGUCGUGAGACAGUUCGGUCCAUAUCCGGUGUAGGCGUUAGAAUAUUGAGAGGAGCCUUCUUUAGUACGAGAGGACCGAGAAGGACAUACCUCUGGUGUACCAGUUAUCGUGCCAACGGUAGACGCUGGGUAGCUAUGUAUGGAGUGGAUAACCGCUGAAAGCAUCUAAGUGGGAAGCCCACCUCAAGAUAAGUAUUCUC
This 1241-nucleotide ribosomal RNA is filed under the name metagenome. RNAcentral's name for it is "bacterial LSU rRNA". It matches the Rfam family "Bacterial large subunit ribosomal RNA", at positions 1564 to 2815 of the family's 2925-position model. The record is from RNAcentral.